AGCGGCGGUUCCUUAGCGCUCGCUUUCCUCCUCCCUGCGCCGGCCAGGACAGGGGGAAGGGCCGGCGGCGAUCCGGGGGCGUCUCACGACCCUGCCUUCCGUGGCUUCAGUUUCCGCCGGGAGGAACAAGUAUUCUUAUAAAAGGAGGCUUCCCCCUGGAAAGAAGACAGACAUGCUGGCUCCUGGAAGCACCCCUAUCUCCUCUAAAGAAGAUGAUGGGCACAGAAGAACCUCCACUUAGAGCUUGCUUUAAGUAUGGCAAGGCUGACCACUGGACCAAAGAAAAGCAAAAACAAAAACAAAACUCUGUUCAACUCCACUAUGCCAAGAUCCCGUCCAGACCAUGGACAUUCAGGAUACUGGAGAAAUUGAUUACCCUGCUUUGCCUAGACAAGUCUAUAUCUCAGCAGAUUUCCACUUGGUUGACUGACACACUACCCAGGCAGCACCUGCAAACUACAAGCUGCUGAGCUCCAGACUUGCUGAAAGCUGAUGUGAUUGCUCCCUCCCUGUCCCUUCACCUGGGUCAGCUAACCAGAUGCUUCUGAAAAAUGCCCCAUUGCCCAGCCUUUGACUCACUUUUCAGCUUUCUUGGACUCUGACAAUCGACACCCCAAUUCAGCUGGAAGCAGCUACAGAAGAGAGUACACCAUCCCUGCCCACAUAUCAUGCUGAAAAAGGUUUUAAUCAAAAGGAAACUCCCUGACAUAAAGGACAAAAUGGUUACUUUUAAUGCCAAUUGAUAAUAGGAAUGGUGGGAAACAACAACAACAAAAAAUUGACCAGGCGGUGGUGACGCACGCCUUUAAUCCCAGCACUCGGAAGGCAGAGGCUGGUGGAUAUCUGUGAGUUCGAGGCCAGCCUGGUCUACAAAGCAAGUUCCAGGAAAGGCACAAAGCUGCACAGAGAAACCCUGUCUCACCCCCCCCCCCCAAAAAAAAAGGAAUGGUGGAGCCUUUAGUUGCAAUUUAUUAAUCAAGUUGUAUGCACCCUGGCUGCUGAACUCUGUCUCCCACUUCAUUCAAAGCAGGAUCAAUGCAGUUAAGUUCCUAGUCCUUUGGGCCCAAUAUGACCCCCCUGCAGGACCUAGACCUCUGACAUCAAUGAUUUGUUGACCAACCAGAAGAGGAGGAGUUUUAGCUCUUAGUUAUCAGCAUUUUGUCCCAGUCUGCCAUCCUGCCCUGAGCUGCUACCCAUAAUACCUGAGGCUAGACUGCAGCCCCUCAAAUCCUUCACACAGGUAUAGAGCACAACCAUUCCACUCACUCCCUUCUGAUUGGUUGGCCCAGAGCUGGUCCACACCACCAAACCACAGAACUCCCUGACAGGCUGAAAGUUUAUCACCAUGUAAAGUCCCCAACUACGUCUCCCCAUAUUACAUUAUGAUUGGAUGGGACUUGGGAGUUGUUUCUUUGAAGUUUUACCCUUUAAAACUGACUGCUGCCCCUCCCUUUGGGGUGCGGUUUGUAGCCUGAACUCUGCCACCUCCCUGAUAUCAGUUUUUCUAAAUAAAUCUUUGGUUUGCUCAAA
Long non-coding RNA from Peromyscus californicus insignis, 1530 nucleotides. RefSeq lists it as uncharacterized. The transcript has 3 exons. The record is from RefSeq and is a predicted model, not a curated record. NCBI's taxonomy places the organism in Eukaryota, Metazoa, Chordata, Mammalia, Rodentia, Cricetidae.